UACAGAGGUCCCGAGCGUUGAUCGGAUUCACUGGGCGUAAAGGGUGCGUAGGCGGUUGGGUAAGUCUGAUGUGAAGUCUCCGGGCUCAACCCGGAAAUGGCAUUGGAUACUAUUCGGCUAGAGGUUUGGAGGGGGGACUGGAAUUCUCGGUGUAGCAGUGAAAUGCGUAGAUAUCGAGAGGAACACCAGUGGCGAAGGCGAGUCCCUGGACAACACCUGACACUGAGGCACGAAAGCUAGGGGAGCAAACAGG
Molecule: ribosomal RNA, 253 nt
Filed under: uncultured bacterium
Lineage: Bacteria
Description: partial 16S ribosomal RNA
Rfam family: Bacterial small subunit ribosomal RNA
Source: RNAcentral